This 495-nucleotide ribosomal RNA is filed under the name uncultured bacterium. RNAcentral's name for it is "bacterial SSU rRNA". It matches the Rfam family "Bacterial small subunit ribosomal RNA", at positions 43 to 524 of the family's 1533-position model. The record is from RNAcentral.
CAGGCCUAACACAUGCAAGUCGAACGGCAGCAUGAUUGAUGGUGACAUUAAUUGAUGGCGAGUGGCGGACGGGUGAGGAAGACGUAGGGAUCUACCUUGUAGCGGAGGAUAACACGUGGAAACGCGUGCUAAUACUGCAUACGCUUUACGAAGGAAAGGCAUGGGACUAUAGGGCCAUGCGCUAUAAGAUGAACCUACGGCGGAUUAGCUAGUCGGUUGGGUAAAGGCUGACCAAGGCGAAGAUCCGUAGCUGUUCUGAGAGGAAGGACAGCCACACUGGGACUGAGACACGGCCCAGACUCCUACGGGAGGCAGCAGUGGGGAAUUUUGGACAAUGGGGGGAACCCUGAUCCAGCGAUGCCGCGUGUGCGAAGAAGGCCUGCGGGUUGUAAAGCACUUUAGGUGGGGAAGAAUAGUUUGGAGUGAUAAGCUUCAGAUGAUGACGUUACCCACAGAAUAAGCACCGGCUAACUCUGUGCCAGCAGCCGCGGUAAU